CUCACGUUCCAGAUGGCCAGAUUCUGUACCUGGCUCCUGGCUGCCCCUGGCGCCAUCUUGAAUCGCUGUGAGGCGGUUUGAGCGAAGGUGUCUGAGCUGCGGUUCUGUUCUGGAAGCUCUAAUCCGACACUGUAGGCUCAAGACCUUUGCAUACAGCCCUCUACAGAUAACUGAACAUAUCUAAUCAAGUUUCUUUGCCUUUGAAACUUUGGUUUCUACAGGUCCAUGAGGGCAGGGAUUUCUUCUCUUUUGUUCACAACUGUAUAUCCAGAGUUUAGAGUGAACUUUGAAGAGCAAAAACAUUCGACAGAGAGGAAAGAAACAGAACACAUAUAUAAAUAGAGAGAGUGAAGAAGUGGAAAUCAUUGAUUCAUCAUAAAGUCAACACUCUGCAAUGUGCAUGUCAGUGUGCAUCGUGAAGCCCAUGACUUACGUCGAUUGAUAUUUUCUCCCCAUUUGAACUAUUGCCUUCUGGAGGACAGGGAACAUAUUAACAUUUCAAUCAGAUGCAGCUGAACGGACACUAAUCUAAACGUUUCAAGACCAAGACAUUAGUUUUAACUUGACUACAGUGUAAUACUUACAGAGCUUCUUAAUUUCUCUAAGCUUUUCUUUUUUUAACCUGUCAAAAGAGAAAUAUAAUAUCUCCUCUGCUUUCUUAAUAUAGAUAAUGCAG
Molecule: long non-coding RNA, 676 nt
Filed under: Capra hircus (goat)
Lineage: Eukaryota; Metazoa; Chordata; Mammalia; Artiodactyla; Bovidae
Description: lncRNA (ENSCHIG00000004314.1)
Source: RNAcentral